This 1320-nucleotide ribosomal RNA is filed under the name Petamella prosternalis. RNAcentral's name for it is "16S ribosomal RNA". The stretch from base 884 to 1241 matches the Rfam family "Archaeal large subunit ribosomal RNA", at positions 2155 to 2712 of the family's 2987-position model. The record is from RNAcentral. Lineage: Eukaryota; Metazoa; Arthropoda; Insecta; Orthoptera; Acrididae.
UAUUGAUUUUAUUAUUUUUAUUUUUUGUUUUUAUUAUUAUUUAAUAAAAAUAAUUUUUAUGUUUUUUGUCUUAGUAUAUUUUAUUGAAUAGAUUUUUUAAUUUAUAAUUUAUUAUUAAUGUAAUUGGACUAUGAAAUAUUUUUUUUAAUUUUAAUAAGUAAAUUUUGUUUAUUGUACCUUUUGUAUCAGGGUUUAUCAAAAUUUUGGUAAUGAUUUGCUUAUCUCGAUUUAGGUUGAUUUAUAAAUAAAUUAAGUUUAAUGUGUUAUAAUUAUUUUUAAUUUAUUUAUUGAAAUGAAAUGUUAAUCGUUUCCUAAGAUAUCUAGUUUCUUAAGAAAAAAUUUAAUUUUUAAAGUUAUUUGUUUUAUUUAAUUUGUUUUAUUUAGAAUAUUAACUUAUUUAUUCCUUAGGGGAUAAGCUCUUGGGAUUUAUAAUCUAUAUUUAAUUAAUUUGAUAUAAAAACGGUAGGCUUUGAAUCAGCUAUCUUUAAGAUUACGUUUUAGUUCAUUAUUUUUAUUUUGAUUUUAUAAUUAUAUUAGAUUUUUUAUUAAGAUUUUUAAUUCAAUUAUUGGGUUUUUGAAAUAAUGAUUGAAUUAGUAUAUUAAUUUUGUUUAUAAUAUCUUUAUUGGUUAAUUUAUUAUAAGGAAUUAGGCAAUUAUUGAUUUUCGCCUGUUUACCAAAAACAUGUCCUCUUGAUAAAUAAUUUGAGGUCUGGCCUGCUCACUGAUUAAUAUUAAAUAGCCGCGGUAUUUUGACCGUGCAAAGGUAGCAUAAUCAUUAGUUUCUUAAUUAGAAGCUGGAAUGAAUGGCUUGACGAAAAAUCAACUGUCUCUUAUUAAUUUUUUGAAUUUAACUUUUGAGUUAAAAGGCUUAAAUUUAAUUUUAGGACGAGAAGACCCUAUAGAGCUUUACAUUUUAUUUUUAUAUAUAUUUUUUGGUUUAGUCUUUGUAUAUUUAAUUUUAAUGUUUUGUUGGGGUGACAUGAAUAAUAAUUAAACUUUUCAUUAAAUAAAUCAUUAAUUUAUGUUUAUUAUGAUCCAUAAUUUAUGAUCAUAAGAUUAAGUUACCUUAGGGAUAACAGCGUAAUUAUUUUUGAGAGCUCAUAUCGACAAAGUAGAUUGCGACCUCGAUGUUGGAUUAAGAAAAAUUUUAGGUGUAGGAGCCUAAUAAUUAGGUCUGUUCGACCUUUAAAUUCUUACAUGAUCUGAGUUCAGACCGGCGUGAGCCAGGUCGGUUUCUAUCCUAAGUUUAUUAAUUUAUAUUAGUACGAAAGGACCAUUUAAUUGAAAUAUUUUCUUAAUUAUGAUUUAAAUUAAUUUAAU